This 18-nucleotide microRNA is filed under the name Nematostella vectensis (starlet sea anemone). Its description in RNAcentral is "nve-miR-9448". Lineage: Eukaryota; Metazoa; Cnidaria; Anthozoa; Actiniaria; Edwardsiidae. The record is from miRBase by way of RNAcentral.
UCCGCAGCCGUCCCUAGU